UCCCUGGUGGCUUAAUGGUAAAGAAUCUGCCUAUCAAGGCAGGAGACACAGGUUCAAUCCCUGCUCUGGAAA
RNAcentral lists this transfer RNA (72 nucleotides) under Bos taurus (domestic cattle). It matches the Rfam family "tRNA". Rfam says of the family: Transfer RNA (tRNA) molecules are approximately 80 nucleotides in length. RNAcentral also lists the same sequence under 3 other names. Lineage: Eukaryota; Metazoa; Chordata; Mammalia; Artiodactyla; Bovidae. The record is from Rfam by way of RNAcentral.